This 162-nucleotide ribosomal RNA is filed under the name Lacticaseibacillus rhamnosus. RNAcentral describes it as "partial 16S ribosomal RNA". It matches the Rfam family "Bacterial small subunit ribosomal RNA", at positions 1 to 140 of the family's 1533-position model. Lineage: Bacteria; Bacillati; Bacillota; Bacilli; Lactobacillales; Lactobacillaceae. The record is from RNAcentral.
UUAUAUGAGAGUUUGAUCCUGGCUCAGGAUGAACGCUGGCGGCGUGCCUAAUACAUGCAAGUCGAACGAGUUCUGAUUAUUGAAGGGUGCUUGCAUCUUGAUUUAAUUUUGAACGAGUGGCGGACGGGUGAGUAACACGUGGGUAACCUGCCCUUAAGUGGG